This 415-nucleotide long non-coding RNA is filed under the name Mus caroli (Ryukyu mouse). RNAcentral describes it as "predicted gene 13830 (MGP_CAROLIEiJ_G0006158.1)". The record is from RNAcentral. Lineage: Eukaryota; Metazoa; Chordata; Mammalia; Rodentia; Muridae.
GGCACGCGUGCAGAGGCCCACACACCCUGAAGGCGGAGCCCCGGGUCGAGUGGCUGGCUCCCGGACCACCCAGCAGUCUGGAAGGCGCCCCUGUGUAGCUGGUACUGCCCUAGGAGACCGUAUACAUACUGAUAGCCUAAUGAUUGAAGGAGAGAUUCCGGGAAAGGGAUCGCAUAUCCAGGAGGUAGAGCCUGUAUGCCAGGCAGUGAGGACCUCAAGAUCUGGAAUGUGGGUGGAUGCGGAGUGUGUACAGCAGGCUCCAGGAGGGAGUCAGAGCACUGGGAGAUGGGAACAGAAGGAUCAGAAAUUCAAGUCCAGCUUUGGAUAGAUGGCACCCAGGCUAGCCUGGGCUACAUGAGAUCCUGUGUAAACUGCUCCCCCCCCCCCAAUAAAUUAAAUGAAACGAGUCAGCAGC